UACGUAGGGGGCAAGCGUUGUCCGGAAUUAUUGGGCGUAAAGGGCUCGUAGGCGGUUUGUUGCGUCGGGAGUGAAAACUUACAGCUUAACUGUGAGCGUGCUUCCGAUACGGGCAGACUUGAGGUAUUCAGGGGAGAACGGAAUUCCUGGUGUAGCGGUGAAAUGCGCAGAUAUCAGGAGGAACACCGGUGGCGAAGGCGGUUCUCUGGGAAUAUCCUGACGCUGAGGAGCGAAAGUGUGGGGAGCGAACAGG
Molecule: ribosomal RNA, 253 nt
Filed under: uncultured bacterium
Lineage: Bacteria
Description: partial 16S ribosomal RNA
Rfam family: Bacterial small subunit ribosomal RNA
Source: RNAcentral